GCCAGACUCCUACGGGAGGCAGCAGUGGGGGAUAUUGCACAAUGGGGGGAACCCUGAUGCAGCGACGCCGCGUGGGCGAGGGAGCGCCUCGGCGCGUAAAGCCCUUUCGGCGGGGGAGAACGAUGACGGUACCCGACGAAGAAGCACCGGCUAAAUACGUGCCAGCAGCCGCGGUAAUACGUAUGGUGCGAGCGUUGUCCGGAUUUACUGGGCGUGAAGGGGGCGCAGGCGGCGCGCCAAGCCCGAUGUGAAAGCCCGGGGCUCAACCCCGGGACUGCAUUGGGAACUGGCGUGCUGGAGUGCCGGAGGGGCAGGCGGAAUUCCUGGUGUAGCGGUGAAAUGCGUAGAUAUCAGGAGGAACACCGGUGGCGAAGGCGGCCUGCUGGACGGAUACUGACGCUGAGGCCCGAAAGCGUGGGGAGCGAACAGGAUUAGAUACCCGUGUA
Molecule: ribosomal RNA, 446 nt
Filed under: uncultured bacterium
Lineage: Bacteria
Description: bacterial SSU rRNA
Rfam family: Bacterial small subunit ribosomal RNA
Source: RNAcentral